This 468-nucleotide ribosomal RNA is filed under the name uncultured bacterium. Its description in RNAcentral is "partial 16S ribosomal RNA". It matches the Rfam family "Bacterial small subunit ribosomal RNA", at positions 28 to 507 of the family's 1533-position model. The record is from RNAcentral.
GACGAACGCUGGCGGCGUGCUUAACACAUGCAAGUCGAACGGAAAGGCCCUGCUUUUGUGGGUUGCUCGAGUGGCGAACGGGUGAGUAACACGUGAGUAACCUGCCCUUGACUUUGGGAUAACUUCAGGAAAAUGGGGCUAAUACCGGAUAGGAGCUCCUGCUGCGUGGUGGUGGUUGGAAAGUGUCGGCGGUUGUGGAUGGACUCGCGGCUUAUCAGCUGGUUUGGGUAGUAGGGGCUUACCAAGGCUUUGACGGGUAGCCGGCAUGAGAGGGUGGACGGACACAUUGGGACUGAGAUACGGACCAGACUCCUACGGGAGGCAGCAGUGGGGAAUCUUGCACAAUGGGCGGACGCCUGAUGCAGAAACGCCGCGUGCGGGAUGACGGCCUACGGGUUGUAAACAGCUUUCGCCUGUGACGAAGAGUGAGUGACGGUAAUGGGUAAAGAAGCAACGGCUAACUACGUG